Molecule: long non-coding RNA, 1316 nt
Organism: Ictalurus punctatus (channel catfish)
Lineage: Eukaryota; Metazoa; Chordata; Actinopteri; Siluriformes; Ictaluridae
Source: Ensembl
GGUAGUGGUAGUAAUAGUAGCAUUUAUUUUAUUAUUAUUAUUAGCAGUAUUAUCUAUUUUAUCAAUUAACACUAAUAACCUAUCUUGGCUCUAAAGGUAGAAUAGGAUAGUAGAAAAAAACACACUUCUGAAUAAUUUUGUACGCUAGUCUGACUCAUAUUGAACGCAGCAGAUAGGCCGUAUAGAGUAUAACACAGUAGCAGUUUGAAUGCUGCACUACAGGUCCCCUGUGAAUUCUAGUAAUUACUGCUCUAGUCAGAAACAUUUGAGUAAUCGAUACUACUGGGUUUUGAUAUUGCUUUUUCAAAAUUGAAUGAAAUGAGGCAGUGGACCGUAUUAACUUUUCGCCAAAUCCUUUUUUUUUAUUUCUAGGCCAGCACCAUUUGGUCUAUGUUAUACAAUAAUGUACAUUAUUAAUUUCUGUUUAGGAUCAAGAGAAAGAUUUUAGCAUUGCACUUACAAGGGCAGUUGAUGAUUUUCUGUGGAAAUGAAAACAGAGAGACAAAUCUUAGGUUUACGAUUACAAAUGAAUGCAAGCAGGGAUUUUUGGAUUAGAUUCAUUUUGCCAUCAGAAACGCACUGUUCUGUACACACUCACUGUAAAUGUUUAUAUCAAGGGUGCCCAAUCUUAUCCGCAAAGGGCCGGUGUGGGUGCAGGUUUUCAUUCCAACCAAAGACUUCAGCAGCAGAGAGCGAACGUUUGUGUUAUUUAUGCGGAACUCUGGACCUGUCCACAUAGCCUGACGGGGUCAUACAAUGUUGACCACACACACACACACACACUUAUUUUACACCGUGGGGCACAGAACAACAUGCAUAGAGACACAGAACCCUGGUAUUGGCUACUCGAGAUAAACUAAAAUCAUUACUGCAUGACUGUCAAUAAUGUGAAUAAUGUUAACAUAAUAAUAUAGAGCAGUUUUGCCAUCAUGUAAUGCCUUCACUUUAAGUUAGAAGUGCUGGAAGGACAUGCACGAUGUGUUUAUUAUGGAGAACCUGGAACCCCUACCCCCAGGUGUUUCUGUGGAUAAAUUCUGCUAAUUAAAAUAAGAUAAAAAUUUAGUUAAAAAAAACGUUUUUCUGCCAAUAAUACACUUUGACUUGUCUGUAAAUUGAUUAAGGAGCCAGUGUAAGAAACACAGUGGGAAAUGCAGUCUGCCUGAAGAUGCCUAAAGCUUGAUUCACACUGCACCAAAAGACGCUGACUCAUGCCAAUUCAUGCCUCUGUUGCCGCUGGGCGGCGGUUGUUUUCAACAACUGAACAUAUUUAGCUGGCGUUUGUCAUGGAAUGUCUGAGCAGUGUGGUAUGAUUUUCC